UAUUUUUUUGUCAACCCCCCCGUGCACGCUUCAGAUUAAGCGGCGGCGCUCUCGAUCCGAUCGAGAUGCAGGACGACGGCGGCAGGGCUCGGGGAACAGUGGGGAAGUGGCGGACGUCGAGGCGAGGUGGCCCAGGUCGGGAUCCAAUGCGGCGGCGCGGAGGCCGGCAGCGGCAACGCUCCAUGGCCAUGGCUGCUCGGUCUCCUGGGAAGAAGAGAGGAGGGAGAGAGGAGGUGAGAUGGAGAGAAGAGAAGGCAGAGUAGGGACGGCGCGGCUUCCUGCUGCUGGUCCGGCGAUGGCUCCAGGUUUGAUUUUCGGAUUCCUCUCCUUCCCGCUGCACGAUGGGGGUUGCCCAGCCGCCACUCUCCCUACCCCGUGCACCUCCUCCCCCUAGCCGCACCUCCCUGCUUCCAUGAAGAUGCCGUCGCCCUCGCCUGCAUCUCGCUGUUGUUUUGUUGUCCAUGGAUAAGGAGCGACAGAUUUGACAGAAAAUAGAAGAGAAAAUUUUCUAGCGUAAAAGGAGAGGAUCUCAGAAUGAAGGGAUUUUUUAGCUGUAUUUAACGGACAAUUUUGUGUGAUUUUUUCAGAAUUUAUAGCCAAAGUCUAUUUGAUUUGUGCAAUGAAAAUCAGAUCCAUCCAUUGAUUGAUAGAAUUUACCAUCCUUCUUCAUUUUGAGAGGUCAAUCUGCGUUGUUAUCUAUUCAUUGGUGGUGCUUUGCAAAAGAGAGAGCAGGAGGCAAUGACGCCGUUGUCAACAGCACGGUGCAGCGAGGUAGGAAGCCGUGUGCAAGGGAUGAAACUGGCAGUGGUGCGCCAUGACAGGCCCCAGCAGAAUUUUGUAUAUGAGGCUUUGCUGUCUGGAUCUAUAUAUAUAUAUAUGUACAUUUUGCAGGUCAAUGCCCUUACUUACCUUAAAGUUGAAGGUAAAUCUUCAGAAACAACUAUUUUUAGGGUUGGUUCAGUCCGAAACCAAUCUGAAUUUUGUAACAAGGUUCAACAUUGCUCUCUAAAUCUAGAUAUUGUGCAGACCAGUGUCAUUAUUAAGUAGCUUAAAGUUGUAGAUAAAUCUUCAGAAACAACAAUUUUCUUUAAUCAGUACAUAAAACAAUGCUAAUUGUUGGUUAUUCAAGGAGUAGGAGCUUGAGGAAUAUGCAGAGAAGGCCAUGCCGUACGUUGCCUGACACAACAACUAGGAACAAGAGCAAAGCUGGACAACGAUCGGCCCAGCAACCACCGGCAUGAUAUCUACACACACCUACAGUUUGUGGCAAACUAAAUAUGUUUUUUGGUGGAAUCAUUAGCCAUUGCUUGAGUUUUGAUGACACAUGCAUUCUCUUUGCCCAAUGUAAGGAGACCACUCUUGCAUACAUGAUGCUCUUGUACUUGUUUCUCUGAGAUGCAUUGCUCUCAUCUACCAGACUGCAUUUCAGCUUGGCAAGCCCACCUCCAAUCCAAACAACUUUGUGUUCAUGAGCCGUGGCAUGGUAGAGUGAUGCAGCCUUUUACGGAUUUCUGGAACUGUUAAUUCCAGUGCCUUCUGAAUUUUGGUCUUGGGAGUUGAAGCGGAUUUGAUUUUGGCAUUACAUUAGUGCGCUUUUCUUUUGCGAAUAUAUUUUCAGCAGUCAAACCGCCUGUUGUGAAUUGAUUUUCAUUGUCAAGCUUGCAGGUGAAUCAGGAUCUGCAUGCUACGGUCUUGCUGGUGCUAGCGGGAGCUCACGGGCGAUCUCCCAGUCUACCGCCCCGACGAACAGGAGACGCAGCUCUCUCGCUGGGAGACCGGCACGGUCAACCCCAUUGGCGAUAUGUUCCCGGCCUGGAUCAAUCGGUCCACGCACAACUGGAGCAAGCAGGUUGAUGGAUUUUGAUAAGGAUGUUAGCUUGAAAGUUGCAACGUACAAAGCUUGCUAUUAAGUGUUGUCCCGUUGCCUUUCACGGACACACGUAUGGAUCCGCUAGGCAGGCUAGAUGCCGAUCUCCACAAGCCUAGAGUUGCUGGACUUCCGUCCUCCCACAUCAAACUUCAUGCAUAACCUUCGUCCAUCCGCAGAGAAGGUGCCGACUGCAUUGUUCGCUAGAUGGCAGCCUCAGCGUGACUAGGAGCCUAUGACUCCAAUGGUUCAAUUAAGCUUCUACUUUUAACCAUCCCACGCAUGACAGGAAGCAAUUCUUUUUUCUUUGUUCAGAGUUUCUUAAAAGGUAUGUAUGCAUUUCAAUCAAAAAUAUUUACUGAUUUAGUCUAAUGACUACUGAGGAAGUAUGUGACAGGGAUGCUUCCCCACUUACCCCGGGAUCGUAAAUGCUGAUUACAAUUGAAGAUCUGCAUAUGUGUGAUUGGGAUUUUAUGUGAAUAUAUAUGAAGCUACUAGGGAGUUUGUGUCUACUGGACCGUGCAUGCAGUAUUUAAUACCCACUGCUUUAGAUGUUGAAUAUAUUUUUACUAUAGUUAUUGGAACUAAUUUUCUUACUUGUAUGACAGAAAUUGAAACUGCUACUUGUAUGUAAGAAAUUGUACGAUUUUAGUACUAUCAGUGAUCUAAUACAUGCCCCACAGAGUCUGACGACGGUGGUGAGGGCACAACCAGCUGCUUCCUACAGUUCAAUAGGCAAUCAAAUCAGGAUAUUUAUACAUCAUGUUGAGUCUGAUGAGGUCUCGGACGUGUGGCUUCUCCUUAAUUUUUGACGCCACCAGCUCCUGGAGGGGAGGCCAGAAGGCGGGCCGGCCGGCAGCGGCAUUCUGUUCGGGGAUGCGUGGAUCUGGUGAUGCUAGUGCAGGGGAACGGGAAACAUCACCUCCGCCAAGGAAUUUCACAUAGCCAAUUUACCUUUCUCCCUAAAGAUUUUUUACUCUGCUAUCAGUACCACUGGUCUUGGGGUUUAGAUUUUGUCAAUAUCAAAAUUUGGGUACUUGCCAGCAAACGAGUUGUUGAUCUAUUUACUUAGUCAAGUUCAUUUCUGCUAUGUUAUGUCAGUUAAGCUUCAGAUUCUAGCCUUGAUUAAAUGGCAAUGAUAUUCUCCAAAACCUACUGAUGUCAGAAAUCCUGCUACCCAACAGGAUGGUUUGCCAACUAAUGUGAUCAAAACAUUCCUGCUUUAGAUAGAAGAACUUAUUUCCUGUUA
This is a long non-coding RNA of Triticum dicoccoides, 3116 nucleotides long. RefSeq lists it as uncharacterized. The transcript has 3 exons. The record is from RefSeq and is a predicted model, not a curated record. Lineage: Eukaryota; Viridiplantae; Streptophyta; Magnoliopsida; Poales; Poaceae.